UGCAAGUCGGAGGGGCAGCAUGUUGGUUGCUUGCAAACCAAUGAGUGGCCGACCGGCGCGACGGGUGAAGUAACGCGUACUACCAACCUACCUCAUACCGUCCGGGAUAAUCCGAUGAAAAGUCGGUCUAAUACCGGAUAUAAUGUAAAAGCUGACAUCGAUUUUACAUGAAAGAAUUUUGGUGUGAGAUGGGGAUGCGUCUGAUUAGCUUGUUGGCGGGGUAACGGCCCACCAAGGCAUCGAUCAGUAGGGGUUCUGAGAGGAAGGUCCCCCACAUUGGAACUGAGACACGGUCCAAACUCCUACGGGAGGCAGCAGUGAGGAAUAUUGGUCAAUGGGCGAGAGCCUGAACCAGCCAAGUAGCGUGCAGGAUGACGGCCCUAUGGGUUGUAAACUGCUUUUAUGCGGGGAUAAAGUGUGUCACGUGUGGCAUAUUGCAGGUACCGCAUGAAUAAGGACCGGCUAAUUCCGUGCC
Molecule: ribosomal RNA, 475 nt
Filed under: uncultured bacterium
Lineage: Bacteria
Description: bacterial SSU rRNA
Rfam family: Bacterial small subunit ribosomal RNA
Source: RNAcentral